Molecule: ribosomal RNA, 397 nt
Filed under: uncultured bacterium
Lineage: Bacteria
Description: partial 16S ribosomal RNA
Rfam family: Bacterial small subunit ribosomal RNA
Source: RNAcentral
AUACGUAGGGGGCGAGCGUUGUCCGGAAUGAUUGGGCGUAAAGGGCGCGUAGGCGGCCUGUUAAGUCUGGAGUGAAAGUCUUGUUUUCAAGAUGGGAAUUGCUUUGGAUACUGAUGGGCUUGAGUGCAGGAGAGGUAAGUGGAAUUCCCAGUGUAGCGGUGAAAUGCGUAGAGAUUGGGAGGAACACCAGUGGCGAAGGCGACUUACUGGACUGUAACUGACGCUGAGGCGCGAAAGUGUGGGGAGCAAACAGGAUUAGAUACCCUGGUAGUCCACACUGUAAACGAUGAAUGCUAGGUGUAGGGGGUAUCGACCCCUUCUGUGCCGCAGUCAACACAAUAAGCAUUCCGCCUGGGGAGUACGGCCGCAAGGUUGAAACUCAAAUGAAUUGACGGGG